AAUUAUACCGUGAAACUGCGAAUGGCUCAUUAAAUCAGUUAUCGUUUAUUUGAUAGUACCUUACUACUUGGAUAACCGUGGUAAUUCUAGAGCUAAUACAUGCUGAAAACCCCGACUUCGGAAGGGGUGUAUUUAUUAGAUAAAAAACCAAUGCCCUUCGGGGCUCCUUGGUGAUUCAUAAUAACUUCUCAGAUCGCAUGGCCUUGCGCCGGCGACGGUUCAUUCAAAUUUCUGCCCUAUCAACUUUCGAUGGUAAGGUAUUGGCUUACCAUGGUUUCAACGGGUAACGGGGAAUUAGGGUUCGAUUCCGGAGAGGGAGCCUGAGAAACGGCUACCACAUCCAAGGAAGGCAGCAGGCGCGCAAAUUACCCAAUCCCGACACGGGGAGGUAGUGACAAUAAAUACUGAUACAGGGCUCUUUUGGGUCUUGUAAUUGGAAUGAGUACAAUUUAAACCUCUUAACGAGGAACAAUUGGAGGGCAAGUCUGGUGCCAGCAGCCGCGGUAAUUCCAGCUCCAAUAGCGUAUAUUAAAGUUGUUGCAGUUAAAAAGCUCGUAGUUGAACCUUUGGCCUGGCUGGCAGGUCCGCCUCACCGCGUGCACUUGUCCGGCCGGGCCUUCUUUUCUGGAGAACCGCAUGCCCUUCACUGGGUGUGUUGGGGACCAGGACUUUUACUUUGAAAAAAUUAGAGUGUUCAAAGCAGGCCUUUGCUCGAAUACGUUAGCAUGGAAUAAUAGAAUAGGACGUGCGGUCCUAUUUUGUUGGUUUCUAGGACCGCCGUAAUGAUUAAUAGGGACAGUCGGGGGCAUCAGUAUUCAAUUGUCAGAGGUGAAAUUCUUGGAUUUAUUGAAGACUAACUACUGCGAAAGCAUUUGCCAAGGAUGUUUUCAUUAAUCAGUGAACGAAAGUUAGGGGAUCGAAGACGAUCAGAUACCGUCGUAGUCUUAACCAUAAACUAUGCCGACUAGGGAUCGGGCGGUGUUAUUAUUUUGACUCGCUCGGCACCUUACGAGAAAUCAAAGUGUUU
This 1027-nucleotide ribosomal RNA is filed under the name Phragmocamarosporium qujingensis. Its description in RNAcentral is "SSU rRNA". It matches the Rfam family "Eukaryotic small subunit ribosomal RNA", at positions 72 to 1108 of the family's 1831-position model. The record is from RNAcentral. Lineage: Eukaryota; Fungi; Ascomycota; Dothideomycetes; Pleosporales; Lentitheciaceae.